AACUGAAGAGUUUGAUCAUGGCUCAGAUUGAACGCUGGCGGCAGGCUUAACACAUGCAAGUCGAGCGGGGGAAGGUAGCUUGCUACUGGACCUAGCGGCGGACGGGUGAGUAAUGCUUAGGAAUCUGCCUAUUAGUGGGGGACAACAUCUCGAAAGGGAUGCUAAUACCGCAUACGUCCUACGGGAGAAAGCAGGGGAUCUUCGGACCUUGCGCUAAUAGAUGAGCCUAAGUCGGAUUAG
This 240-nucleotide ribosomal RNA is filed under the name Acinetobacter baumannii. RNAcentral's name for it is "partial 16S ribosomal RNA". It matches the Rfam family "Bacterial small subunit ribosomal RNA", at positions 1 to 244 of the family's 1533-position model. The record is from RNAcentral. Lineage: Bacteria; Pseudomonadati; Pseudomonadota; Gammaproteobacteria; Moraxellales; Moraxellaceae.